GCUGGGCGCAGUGGCACGUGCCCAUAAUCCCAGCAGCUUGGGAAGCGGAGGCAGGAGGGUCACAUGAGUUCAAAGUCAGCCUCAACAAUUUAGCAAAGUGCUAUAAGCAACUCAGUGAGACCCUGUCUCUA
RNAcentral lists this small RNA (131 nucleotides) under Marmota monax (woodchuck). Lineage: Eukaryota; Metazoa; Chordata; Mammalia; Rodentia; Sciuridae. The record is from RNAcentral.